Molecule: long non-coding RNA, 328 nt
Filed under: Ricinus communis (castor bean)
Lineage: Eukaryota; Viridiplantae; Streptophyta; Magnoliopsida; Malpighiales; Euphorbiaceae
Description: long non-coding RNA (RCOM_LNC001415)
Source: RNAcentral
AAAGAAAUAGAACACAAAUUUUUUGUCACUGCUAGUAGUCUGCUGAAGACACAUCCUCAUUGGCUGGAUCGGCUGGAGGGUGAGGAGUAGGGGAAGGCACUGGAGGAGGGGGCGGUGGUUGAUGUGUGCUAUUUGUGUUAACUACAAUCUAAGGCAGUGUACUUAUCGAUGCAGUCUAGCAAUAAUGGCGAGUAUCAAGUUCGUAUUCCUCGGGAAAGUGAAAGCCCAGAGUUACUCCUUUGUUCUUUGUUAUAUUAACCUAAAAUGAGUGAUGAAUAAUUUCUAAACUAACUAAUAGCUACAAGCUAAGUUCUAAGAGAGAUGCAGG